UCUUAACAGUUACAUGUGGAAGUAUCUCAUAUGUUUUAAUGUUUGUCUUUUUAAUAAAGUAAAUAAAAAAACUUAAGGUUCUUUUUCCUUGCAGACCCAGAUUGAUCAUUACAUCGAUCUUGUGCGUACCCAAGUCAACAACACAAUUGCAAAACUGCAAGAGAAACUUCCGGGAGCUAUGAAACGCAGCAAAACUGAAUGAUCUCACAUGUCAUCUUCAUCCUCAUCUCCAUCACUCUGGAAAAACCAACCCUUCAUCUCACCCAGCUCCUCCCCAGUAACCCAGACCUGUUCACCUGUGCCCCCACCCAACACACACACACACACACACACACACACACUGAACCGUGCUAGACAGAUACUCAGCUACUCAAUGUUCAACGUAAAACUACUGCGCAGCUUAACUUGCAAACAUAAAAUCAGAGGCGUGCCUGCAGAGCCAUGAGGCACCAUGCCUAUGAGCAGGUCAUGUGACACUGCAGCAUUCCCAGCUGCAGAGGGAAGGCCAGCCUGAGUGAACUAGACUGAAUCUAUGACCUGGUUCCACCACGUACAGAGCAUCAGGGCGGACGGGGCGCUGCCUCCGAGCAACACCCGUCUGCCGAGGAAGCACACGCUUCCCUGCAGGUAGACCGAGGAGCGUCCGGCUGGUCACACAGCCUCUAUGGAGCUGUGGCCAGGCUCACUGUACCUUUUACUCAAUGUUACAUUCUGUACAAAUUCAUUUCAGGAGCUGGGAUUGGCUCUGCUCCUCCUGAUCGACUCUUCCGUUUGUUUUUCAGUCACAGGCAGUGUUUGAACCUUCUGCAAUGCACUGAUUUUCUCCCUCCCUGACGCCUGGGCAGGUGGAGGUAGCCCCCACCCCUGAACCAGCUGUGAUAAUUUGGUCUAGUUCAUCAUGUUCAGAAGCUUUUUUCUGAAAACGUCUGUUCUUGUAAAUAACCCUGAGAAGCGACAGGCUCUCUGCGCCGUGGAACACAUCGGCCAAGCUUUUAUAUUGAAGGAAGACCCCGACCCACCCCCACCCCUACAAUCAUAGUAGUCUUGACUGUUUUUGCACCUGUUCAGUCCUCUAAAUGUUCGGCUCUUGUUUUCACUUGUAUAUUUUGAUUCUAAUUAUGACUACUUAGAAGUGCUACCUGUAUAAACUCUAGGAUGGCUGCUUGAACUCCCCUCCAGCUCGAUAACGGCUUAGUGAGACUUCUGUUAGGUGUUACUGAGCUUCUUCUUUUUAACCAGUAGUUCUUUGAGUCCUCCCCUAUAGAAUCAAGCUGAUAGGUUAAGCGGCACAUUGAUGUGUUCAACUUUUAAUCCCCACAUGGUUUCUCAGAUUGCUGUUGUGUUGAGUGUAAAAUGUGAAUGGUUUGAAUUGUUUUGCCAAAAAAAGAAUUAUGAAUAAUUUCAAAGCUGUUCAGUUUAAUUUUAGACAACAGGCCAAAGGUGGAAGGUCAUCUGGAAAAUAAUGGCUGAAAUUAAAAUUGAAUGUAAAAGUGAAAAUAAAAGUUUGUGCUGUGAUCGUUUCUCUAAUUUUUUCCUCUUUUUUUUUUUUUUUUAAAUGUACUCUUCAAAAGCAGAGACUAUAAUGUUGACACAUUUUACACUCCAUACAAUGUUCCUCUGGCCAAGGAGGAAAUGAGAUGAGUUCAGGGUUGUUAUAUUAGAAGGUGCCAUUUUAAGUAAAGUAGCUGGAGAUGAUGGGAACACUUUCUGAAAUGGUUACUGUAGAACUCCUGUGUUUUUGUUUUUUUGACAGCCUCAGUGCAUGUCAUAGUGUAAGCUGGAACAGGUUUUCACCCCUCCCCUAUAUAGCCAGUAAUAUAUUGUUGAUCCUGACUUUUGUUUAAUAAGGUUACUACUUGUGAUUGUUUCCGUGGUGUUUUCUGAACCUGAUUUAAAACCAUAGUGACGUGUUGGCCCUGCAGUCCAACCUUUGUUACGUUAAGGGACGGAAGUGUGAAUAGUGAGUCGACACCACACCUGUAGCUGUAGCUGUUCUGUCCUGUCUGCAUGUCUCCCUGCAUACUGAAUGGACACGGCUGCUGAACUCUCUCCCUCCUAUGCAUGACCUCUGUGUGAUUCACCUGCACAGGUCAGAGUUCACCGACCCUGCCGCUUCGUGUCUGCCACUUCUGUCCCACAGGAGGCGCACUGAAUGUCAUCAGAGAUAAAGUUACGUUUUUUGUUUUUUAGAAAAGGAUUUAGCUUCCAGAACAUAGUUACCAUGUGUUUCUUUUAUGGAUGUAAGAUUUAAGAAAU
Molecule: non-coding RNA, 2256 nt
Organism: Poecilia reticulata (guppy)
Lineage: Eukaryota; Metazoa; Chordata; Actinopteri; Cyprinodontiformes; Poeciliidae
Source: RefSeq, a predicted model, not a curated record